This 157-nucleotide long non-coding RNA is filed under the name Cyanistes caeruleus (blue tit). RNAcentral's name for it is "lncRNA (ENSCCEG00000010820.1)". The record is from RNAcentral. Lineage: Eukaryota; Metazoa; Chordata; Aves; Passeriformes; Paridae.
AUGCAAGGUAUGAAACACACAUCUGGUAACUUUCCUGUCGGUACCUGUCAGUACCAUGGCUACAACCAAAGGAAAAGAAGGACCUUUCAGAUGGGAAGGUACCAUGAUAUCUGUGCCAGCCAAACAAGUUACUGUUUGUUGUGUUACUGUUUACUUG